RNAcentral lists this ribosomal RNA (426 nucleotides) under uncultured rumen bacterium. Its description in RNAcentral is "bacterial SSU rRNA". It matches the Rfam family "Bacterial small subunit ribosomal RNA", at positions 354 to 776 of the family's 1533-position model. The record is from RNAcentral.
GUGGGGGAUAUUGGGCAAUGGGCGGAAGCCUGACCCAGCCAUGCCGCGUGAGGGGAUGAGGCCCUACGGGUCGUGAACCUCUUUUAUGCGGGGACAACGCCCCCCACGAGAUGGGGGUUUGAGGGUACCGCAGGAAUAAGCGCCGGCUAACUCCGUGCCAGCAGCCGCGGUAAUACGGAGGGCGCGAGCGUUAUCCGGAUUCAUUGGGUUUAAAGGGUGCGCAGGCGGCCUGAUAAGUCAGCGGUGAAAUCCCGGGGCUCAACCCUGGAAGUGCCGUUGAUACUGUCGGGCUGGAAUGCGGUCGAGGCGGGCGGAACGUGGCGUGUAGCGGUGAAAUGCGUAGAUAUGCCACAGAACGCCGAUAGCGGAGGCAGCUCGCCAGGCCUGCAUUGACGCUCAGGCACGAAAGCGUGGGGAUCGAACAGG